CCUACGGGAGGCAGCAGUAGGGAAUCUUCCACAAUGGACGAAAGUCUGAUGGAGCAACGCCGCGUGAGUGAUGAAGGUUUUCGGAUCGUAAAACUCUGUUGUAAGGGAAGAACAAGUACGAGAGGUAAUGCUCGUACCUUGACGGUACCUUGCGAGAAAGCCACGGCUAACUACGUGCCAGCAGCCGCGGUAAUACGUAGGUGGCAAGCGUUGUCCGGAAUUAUUGGGCGUAAAGCGCGCGCAGGCGGCCUUUUAAGUCUGAUGUGAAAGCCCCCGGCUCAACCGGGGAGGGUCAUUGGAAACUGGAAGGCUUGAGUACAGAAGAGAAGAGUGGAAUUCCAUGUGUAGCGGUGAAAUGCGUAGAGAUGUGGAGGAACACCAGUGGCGAAGGCGACUCUUUGGUCUGUAACUGACGCUGAGGCGCGAAAGCGUGGGGAGCAAACAGGGAUUAGAUACCCGUGGUAGUCCACGCCGUAAACGAUGAGUGCUAGGUGUUGGGGGUUUCCGCCCUCAGUGCUGAGCUACGCAUAGCNCNCGCGNGGNGCGCGNGAGNGNGAGUAGAAGAGUGNGNGNGNGNGNGCGAGCGACGAGAGGAG
Molecule: ribosomal RNA, 596 nt
Filed under: uncultured bacterium
Lineage: Bacteria
Description: partial 16S ribosomal RNA
Rfam family: Bacterial small subunit ribosomal RNA
Source: RNAcentral